This 468-nucleotide ribosomal RNA is filed under the name uncultured bacterium. RNAcentral's name for it is "partial 16S ribosomal RNA". It matches the Rfam family "Bacterial small subunit ribosomal RNA", at positions 28 to 507 of the family's 1533-position model. The record is from RNAcentral.
GACGAACGCUGGCGGCGUGCUUAACACAUGCAAGUCGAACGGAAAGGCCCUGCUUUUGUGGGGUGCUCGAGUGGCGAACGGGUGAGUAACACGUGUGUAACCUGCCCUUGACUUUGGGAUAACUUCAGGAAACUGGGGCUAAUACCGGAUAGGAGCUCCUGCUGCAUGGUGGGGGUUGGAACGUUUCGGCGGUUGGGGAUGGACUCGCGGCUUAUCAGCUUGUUGGUGGGGUAGUGGCUUACCAAGGCUUUGACGGGUAGCCGGCCUGAGAGGGUGACCGGCCACAUGGGGACUGAGAUACGGCCCAGACUCCUACGGGAGGCAGCAGUGGGGAAUAUUGCACAAUGGGCGGAAGCCUGAUGCAGCAACGCCGCGUGCGGGAUGACGGCCUUCGGGUUGUAAACCGCUUUCGCCUGUGACGAAGCGUGAGUGACGGUAAUGGGUAAAGAAGCACCGGCUAACUACGUG